Molecule: long non-coding RNA, 507 nt
Organism: Perca flavescens (yellow perch)
Lineage: Eukaryota; Metazoa; Chordata; Actinopteri; Perciformes; Percidae
Exons: 3
Source: RefSeq, a predicted model, not a curated record
GACUUUGUAGUUGAAAAAGGAGCCUCAUAAAAGAAUGACAUUUCCUCCUAUGGAGUCCAUUCAUUCGCAUUUGGAGAUCAACACUUUUUCACUGGCAAGAUGGCGGAGAGCGUAAACAACAACUGCCAAAGAAACUGAAAACACUACCUGUGGUCAGUGUUUCCGAUUCUGUAGGACUAACAAGCUUGAAUUGACAUUGGUGUCUACAUUCACAAAGCCUCCAUAAAUUAAAUGAGUGUCUGCAUGGUGUAUUGCUGAGGACCCAAGGGUCAGUGUUGAGUGUGAAGUCAAUUGGAGGAGCGGUUCUUGAGAACACCGCAAGCAGCACUUCGAAGGGCCAAGCAAAGAAAAGGCUCCUUGGACGCAAGCAAUCAACCCACUCUGAAUAGAGACGCAUUCCAAACAUGCACGCUCCCCGACAACGCUGCAAGCAGCAAUACCAGGAGCCAAGUAACCGGCUUUGAACGGACACGUGAUACAAACUGGCAUGCUCCGAAUGGGUACUGC